This 263-nucleotide ribosomal RNA is filed under the name uncultured bacterium. Its description in RNAcentral is "partial 16S ribosomal RNA". It matches the Rfam family "Bacterial small subunit ribosomal RNA", at positions 793 to 1055 of the family's 1533-position model. The record is from RNAcentral.
GUCCACGCCCUAAACGAUGUCAACUAGUUGUCGGGGAAGCAAUUCCUUGGUAACGCAGCUAACGCGUGAAGUUGACCGCCUGGGGAGUACGGUCGCAAGAUUAAAACUCAAAGGAAUUGACGGGGACCCGCACAAGCGGUGGAUGAUGUGGAUUAAUUCGAUGCAACGCGAAAACCUUACCUACCCUUGACAUGUCCAGAACCCCGGUGAAAGCUGGGGGUGCCCGAAAUGGAAUUGGAACACAGGUGCUGCAUGGCUGUCGU